CCUGAGUGUUGGGUUUUUCCCGCACGAGCGCAAACCCCUAUGUUUAGUUGCCAGCAAGUAAUGUUGGGGACUCUAGACAGACUGCCUGCGCAAGCAGAGAGGAAGGAGGGGACGACGUCAAGUCAUCAUGGCCCUUACGCCCAGGGCGACACACGUGCUACAAUGGCGCAUACAGCGGGUCGCGAGCCGGUAACGGUCAGCCAACCUCUAAAAGUGCGUCUCAGUUCGGAUUGAGGUCUGCAACUCGACCUCAUGAAGCUGGAAUCGCUAGUAAUCGCGCAUCAGCCAUGGCGCGGUGAAUACGUUCCCGGACCUU
RNAcentral lists this ribosomal RNA (316 nucleotides) under uncultured Bacteroidota bacterium. Its description in RNAcentral is "bacterial SSU rRNA". It matches the Rfam family "Bacterial small subunit ribosomal RNA", at positions 1066 to 1382 of the family's 1533-position model. Lineage: Bacteria; Pseudomonadati; Bacteroidota. The record is from RNAcentral.